This 376-nucleotide long non-coding RNA is filed under the name Homo sapiens (human). Its description in RNAcentral is "HSALNT0080838". Lineage: Eukaryota; Metazoa; Chordata; Mammalia; Primates; Hominidae. The record is from RNAcentral.
GGGCGGGUCACUCACCCUCAUCCUGCUCAGCGGGCUUGGGUCGUCCGGCCGCGGGGUCAGGGAAGACCAGAGGACCACUAGCCCCAGGAAGCUUCCCACCACCAGCAAACUGCGGGUGGUGAAUUUGUAACCGAAAGGCCCAGGUGAGAUGUGCAAAUAUCACUGGAUUGGAGGAGCUCACUUGGAAAGCCAGUAUUCCUCCUGAGCUAAUGAAAAGAAAGGCUGUCGUCUUAUGCCAAAAGCAAUACCAACCUUGUUCACGGGCUGAGAUCUAGAGUGUGUAAUUCACGAAGUAUGAAUCUGCUGGGUAAUGUGAUAUGAAAAGCGAAUGCACCAUUUCUUGGUGAUGAUUCAGAGUGGGUACAGAGGAAAGGCC